CUUAAUUGAAUUUAUUCGUAAUGAUUUUUAUGUGUUCUCUAUUGUUUAAAUAUUUUAUAAUUUUUCUAAAUUAUUAAUUGUUGUGAACGUGUCUUAAAAUGAAUACUCUUGUUAUUGAUAUUGUGUAUUGAAAGUAUGCACAUGUUGUUGUAGGCUUGGCCCAAAUACAACUCAAUUACUCAAACCCCUUAAAACUCAAUACAAAACAGCCCAAACUACUAACCCUGGCCACCCCGUGAUGUUUGCCACCCCACGCCUCUGCAGCACCAUUCCCAGGCAUCACACACUCCCACCAACUCCUCCAUACCCUGCAAAAUGAAACAAACACUAAGACAGAAGUUGACAACACAAGAGCAGUAGCAAGAGGCUUAAAAUAUCGUUUUGAAAUGGCUAUAAGAGGGGGAUCCGAUUGUAAAAAUGAGGGGGGGUUUAGAGAAGGAUCGAUUGUAUUUUAGGGGGAAAAAUCGAUUGUAAAUAAGUUUUUUUUUUGUUUUCGAAUACAAAAGAAGAGGGAUUGUAUUACACAAAAGGAGAAGAAAAAAGGGAAUAAAAAAAACACAAAAGGUGGAAUUUUUACUCUCUGUUCAUUCAUUUUCUUCGUCUCUUUAUUUUAUGUUUGUUCUCAAAAUCGUUUUUUUAAAAACAAGAAGAAAGGAAGGAGAAUCAAAUAUAAAAAAAAAUAUUUUUUUUUUUUUCAAAAGGUGAUUUUUUUUUCUUUUAUCAAAAAUCUCUGCUGUUAGUCUCUUUUAUUUUCUUUUCAUAAAUACAAACAAAAUACAUUAAAAAAAAUCAAUAGAAAGCACACAAGAGAAUACUGGAAAGGUAAUUAUUCUUGUAAUCUAUUUUUGUUUUUUUUCUCUUCAUUUCUUUCUCCUCUUUUCAGUCGGAUUUAAUACAAAUACGAAGUAUAAGAGAGGAAGGAGGGGUCUUACCGGAGUCAUGCUCGUGCCGUCGGCGACCAUUGCGCCUGGGAUCUUGAUGGAGGCGGCGUCCGACGGAAAUGGGAAGAGAGAUGAGAGAGCAUUUGAAAGUUUUUUUAAGUUUUUUAAAAGAUGCAGAUGUGAAAAUGGUGUUUAAAACAAAAAGUGAUUUUAAUAGCAGAACAAAACAGCACCGUUUGGUGCUGGACCCAUGCCUUUUGGCUUAAAAUGAGGAAUUGGCGCAAUCGGUCCCUCUCCUUCGCUCUUGCAUUCAAUUUGAUCUUUCCCUAUGUUCUUUAUUUUUUUUAUUUUUCCCCUAAAAUUGGCGCAUCUGUUCACUUCAGUCUGGGCUGAAAUGUUUCGUUUUGGGGGUUUGGUAUGUUUGUUUUUUUAAUCCCUGUUGGUUUUCGCGCAUGGCAUUUUAAUCCUCCUUGUGGUUU
This 1360-nucleotide long non-coding RNA is filed under the name Gossypium barbadense (sea-island cotton). RNAcentral describes it as "long non-coding RNA (GBAR_LNC012725)". The record is from RNAcentral. Lineage: Eukaryota; Viridiplantae; Streptophyta; Magnoliopsida; Malvales; Malvaceae.